GACGAACGCUGGUUGCGUGCUUAACACAUGCAAGUCGAACGGAAAGGCCCUGCUUUUGUGGGGUGCUCGAGUGGCGAACGGGUGAGCAACACGUGAGUAACCUGCCCUUGACUUUGGGAUAACUUCAGGAAACUGGGGCUAAUACCGGAUAGGAGCUCCUGCUGCAUGGUGGGGGUUGGAAAGUUUCGGCGGUUGGGGAUGGACUCGCGGCUUAUCAGCUUGUUGGUGGGGUAGUGGCUUACCAAGGCUUUGACGGGUAGCCGGCCUGAGAGGGUGACCGGCCACAUUGGGACUGAGAUACGGCCCAGACUCCUACGGGAGGCAGCAGUGGGGAAUAUUGCACAAUGGGCGGAAGCCUGAUGCAGCAACGCCGCGUGCGGGAUGACGGCCUUCGGGUUGUAAACCGCUUUCGCCUGUGACGAAGCGUGAGUGACGGUAAUGGGUAAAGAAGCACCGGCUAACUACGUGCCAGCAGCCGCGGUGAUACGUAGGGUGCGAGCGUUGUCCGGAUUUAUUGGGCGUAAAGGGCUCGUAGGUGGUUGAUCGCGUCGGAAGUGUAAUUCUUGGGGCUUAACCCUGAGCGUGCUUUCGAUACGGGUUGACUUGAGGAAAGUAAGGGGAGAAUGGAAUUCCUGGUGGAGCGGUGGAAUGCGCAGAUAUCAGGAGGAACACCAGUGGCGAAGGCGGUUCUCUGGGCCUUUCCUGACGCUGAGGAGCGAAAGCGUGGGGAGCGAACAGGCUUAGAUACCCUGGUAGUCCACGCUGUAAACGGUGGGUACUAGGUGUGGGGUCCAUUCCACGGGUUCCGUGCCGUAGCUAACGCUUUAAGUACCCCGCCUGGGGAGUACGGCCGCAAGGCUAAAACUCAAAGGAAUUGACGGGGCCCCGCACAAGCGGCGGAGCAUGCGGAUUAAUUCGAUGCAACGCGUAGAACCUUACCUGGGUUUGACAUGGAUCGGGAGUGCCCAGAGAUGGGUGUGCCUCUUUUGGGGUCGGUUCACAGGUGGUGCAUGGCUGUCGUCAGCUCGUGUCGUGAGAUGUUGGGUUAAGUCCCGCAACGAGCGCAACCCUUGUUCACUGUUGCCAGCACGUUAUGGUGGGGACUCAGUGGAGACCGCCGGGGUCAACUCGGAGGAAGGUGGGGAUGACGUCAAGUCAUCAUGCCCCUUAUGUCCAGGGCUUCACGCAUGCUACAAUGGCUGGUACAGAGAGUGGCGAGCCUGUGAGGGUGAGCGAAUCUCGGAAAGCCGGUCUCAGUUCGGAUUGGGGUCUGCAACUCGACCUCAUGAAGUCGGAGUCGCUAGUAAUCGCAGAUCAGCAACGCUGCGGUGAAUACGUUCCCGGGGCU
This 1348-nucleotide ribosomal RNA is filed under the name uncultured bacterium. Its description in RNAcentral is "bacterial SSU rRNA". It matches the Rfam family "Bacterial small subunit ribosomal RNA", at positions 28 to 1381 of the family's 1533-position model. The record is from RNAcentral.